RNAcentral lists this long non-coding RNA (427 nucleotides) under Lepisosteus oculatus (spotted gar). RNAcentral describes it as "lncRNA (ENSLOCG00000021665.1)". Lineage: Eukaryota; Metazoa; Chordata; Actinopteri; Semionotiformes; Lepisosteidae. The record is from RNAcentral.
GUCGGAGCCUGAGGAACUGUGAAAAAGAGAGUUUCUUGUACAAUACAGGGGUGGAAAGAACUACACAGGAGUUGAAAAUCUGCAUCACCUGUAAAUGUAGUGGUUUAUGUCAAGAAAUCGCGAAGUAUUGGAAGUUAUUGAAGGCUGACGGGGAGGGGUAAGAUUAACCUUCGUCAGGAGACAAGGACAAGACUUGGAAACCACGCAACAGAGGGCUUUUAUCCCCAGAGAUUUCAGAACCCCAUCUGGAAAGCCCAAGACCCUGCCAAUGGGUGCCCCAGUUCCUCUCUGGGCAUUGGCAUUUAUCAAGAGUGUCUGGAUCUGUUAUUAAUUAUGGAUCAAUAAUACAUUCCUUUUCAAAAUCCCUAAAUAAACCUGCUAUCUGUUAAUCUAAAUAUAGAUGCUGGAAGAGCAGUCUGAAGCGUAC